UACGAAGGGGGCAAGCGUUGUUCGGAAUUACUGGGCGUAAAGCGCACGUAGGCGGCUUUGUAAGUUAGAGGUGAAAGCCCGGGGCUCAACUCCGGAAUUGCCUUUAAGACUGCAUCGCUAGAAUUGUGGAGAGGUAAGUGGAAUUCCGAGUGUAGAGGUGAAAUUCGUAGAUAUUCGGAAGAACACCAGUGGCGAAGGCGACUUACUGGACACAUAUUGACGCUGAGGUGCGAAAGCGUGGGGAGCAAACAGG
Molecule: ribosomal RNA, 253 nt
Filed under: uncultured bacterium
Lineage: Bacteria
Description: partial 16S ribosomal RNA
Rfam family: Bacterial small subunit ribosomal RNA
Source: RNAcentral